CACCACUCUUAAGGUACUUAUUUAGCACUGCAAAAAUUUGGGAGUUCAAUACUUGAAACCGUCUUAUUCGAUCCACCAUUCUCUUCAAGUGCUGCAAGAGACAAUCGUUGUUAAUACCAUGAUAUAGAAAAAAUACUCACAAUGCCCUUGACAUUUUCAUCCUUCCCAUCUACACGCUGAACUCGUAAAAUAUGGUAGCAGAAAUCUAAAGCUUCAAAUCUUCUUUGUUGACCCAGAAGGACUAUCAUAGCACAUCCAGCCCAGUGUAAACCUUCCCCGAAGAGUUCUCUGCGCAAUUAAUCAUUUAUCAAUUUGGAUAAUUGAGCUUUUCAGCUGAUACCUACUCCACUGUAAAUUCUGUUUCUCCAACUGGAAUGCAGUACACAAACUGUAAGGCACUCCAGAGUCUAUGGAAUUCAGUACAUUCGUCUACAUUCAUCACUCCGUUUGCUGGUGGAGGUCCUACCCAAAUAGGAUCAUCCAGAAAGCUGCGUAGUCGACUAAGUACCACUUC
Molecule: long non-coding RNA, 514 nt
Organism: Diprion similis
Lineage: Eukaryota; Metazoa; Arthropoda; Insecta; Hymenoptera; Diprionidae
Exons: 3
Source: RefSeq, a predicted model, not a curated record